Molecule: unclassified non-coding RNA, 1146 nt
Filed under: Mizuhopecten yessoensis (Yesso scallop)
Lineage: Eukaryota; Metazoa; Mollusca; Bivalvia; Pectinida; Pectinidae
Description: coiled-coil domain-containing protein 34-like, transcript variant X3
Source: RNAcentral
UUAGCGCCAUAUUGAAAUCUUUGUUUUGACAUGCGACAGAUUCAGACUUGAUCUGUUUCGUUUGUAGUUAGCGUUUUGAUUACAGCAAGAUAAAAGUGAAGGUUUCCACUCUAUGGAGAGAUAGACUACAAGGUCAGAGGUCACAAUGAGUUUGCGCCCAAGGCCUGUCACAGCAACAGUCACCAAACCAAAAUGGAUGGAGCCACAAGUUUUUCGACCUCGUUCUUUAUCCUUGGACUCGGGCGGGUCUACUGCAUCCUUGACCUCUGUUCUAGACCACGAUAGCUACAUCAGUCCAAGUCCGAGUGAUGACGAGGAGGACUGGACCUAUGACAAGGAAAACUGUGGAAGGAGUGCGGAGAAUGAAGUAAAGGGAGACAAUAACAAAGAGCACUGUAUAGAUAGAAAGGCCCCUGAAAGGAAAUUGGCAGAGUAUGAUGAAAGUACAUAUACAGAAGUGACAGAAAGUGAGAACAGUCCUGAAGGUAAACUGUCUCCCUGGGAAAAAUGGCUUAUCUCUAAGACAAAAUCAGAACGCAAGUCACGUAAACAGAAGGUUCUAGAAAAGAAAGAACAAAAACAGAAACAAGAGGAGGAGAAACUCACCAAAGAAAAAGACAAAGAGAAAAUAGAAGAAAAUCGUCGAAAAUGGUUAGCAGAAAAACAAGAGAGAGCAAAGCUACGCAGAAAAAUGGAACAUCAACGAGUGAAAAUGGAGGAAAGACUUAAAACUGAACAGGAGAGAGACAUUGCUGAAAAAGCUGAAAAAGAGUUUAAAAAGUGGAAGGUAGAGAAAAAGAAGGCUGAGCGGGAAAAAGAACAGAAAGAACGACAGAAACAACAGGAGAAGGAGCAGAAGCAGGUAGAAAAACAGAAAAAAGCGGAAGAUAAAUACAAGGAAUGGUGUCUAAAGGCUGCCAACAGGCCUAAGUCCGUCCCCAACAGCUUCGGCUACACCUCUGGUAAACUCACAGGGGUGAAAGUAAGAAAAUGGAGGGAGGAAUGUAGCGGAACUUGACUGGGGUCGAUUGCUGGAAACCUGUAAGGUAACUCGCUAGAUCUGAUCCAAUCAAAGUCAGGUUACCAUGACACCAGUGCCUACCCUCCCCCCUCGUUCUACAACCCUCUACCCUGGCACCACAACCC